This is a small nucleolar RNA of Callithrix jacchus (white-tufted-ear marmoset), 100 nucleotides long. Lineage: Eukaryota; Metazoa; Chordata; Mammalia; Primates; Cebidae. The record is from Ensembl.
AUUUUUUCGUAGUUCAUAAACGUGAUGAUUGGGCUUUCAUACUUGUUUUGAGGUGUGCCUUCCUCAAACCUUAUGGUGUCAGCACAUUACCUGUCUAAUG